Molecule: ribosomal RNA, 492 nt
Filed under: uncultured bacterium
Lineage: Bacteria
Description: partial 16S ribosomal RNA
Rfam family: Bacterial small subunit ribosomal RNA
Source: RNAcentral
GAUGAACGCUGGCGGGAGGACGAACACAGGAAAGUCGAACGGAAGCACAGUAAGCGCUUGCUCUUACGGUUGGCGAGUGGCGGACGGGUGAGGAAUACAUCGGAAUCUACUUUUUCGUGGGGGAUAACGUAGGGAAACUUACGCUAAUACCGCAUACUACCUACGGGUGAAAUCAGGGGAUCUUCGGACCUUGCGCGAUUGAAUGAGCCGAUGUCGGAUUAGCUAGUUGGCGGGGUAAAGGCCCACCAAGGGAACGAUCCGUAGCUGGUCUGAGAGGAUGAUAGGCCACACUGGAACUGAGACACGGUCCAGACUCCUACGGGAGGCAGCAGUGGGGAAUAUUGGACAAUGGGCGCAAGCCUGAUCCAGCCAUACUGCGUGGGUGAAGAAGGACUUCGGGUUGUAAAACCCUUUUGUUGGGAAAGAAAAGCAGCAGGUUAAUACGCCGCUGUUCUGACGGUACCCAAAGAAUAAGCACCGGCUAACUUCGUC